Molecule: long non-coding RNA, 2710 nt
Filed under: Nicotiana tabacum (common tobacco)
Lineage: Eukaryota; Viridiplantae; Streptophyta; Magnoliopsida; Solanales; Solanaceae
Description: long non-coding RNA (NTAB_LNC019020)
Source: RNAcentral
AAUACCCACGAAAUCCAAUGAAUACAUUCUGUCAAACUAAUAUAUAAGUACAUGAUCAAACUAACACAAUUAACAUGUUAUUAAAACUUAAGUGAGUUAUUCAGCAAACAAAUCUCAACACCAUUUAUAUCACAAGAUUCCCCAAGAAUGCAUCUGUCCUGAAUUUAACUCGGUUAACAGGUUAUUUCCAAGUCUUAUAACAGUCCCAAAUCUAAUACAACUCAACGAAUUUGAAUAUUCAGAAUAAAAACUACCUAGCAUACACCAAGAAUCAAAUAACGAAAACAGACAUUAUAUAGAACUACUGCAGAUAGAACUAUUAUCAUUUCUUAACUUCAUUUUCGUUUCCCUCUUCAAAUUGGAUUUCACAUUGGGUAAAGUUCAAAAAAUGUACCUGUAAAUGGACAAAGAAAAAUAGGUAAGGAUCAGUAAGCUACAUCAAAGAUAUCAAACAGGAAGCAGCAAUCAGCUAAACCCAGAUUUGAACAGUCAAGAUAGUGAAAUCAACUUUAGGCAUUCAGUAGAAUAGUAAACCCAACCACAAGCUUGAACCAGAAUUUUCCAAAAUCACAAUUCUAAUCCAUUUCUACCCUCAGAUGAAUCAAAGUUGUUUGGAAAUUGAAAGAUUCAAAAAUCACUGAAAAAAGUUCAAUGAAACAGUUAAAUCAGGCGUUUGUAUUUCUGGAUUUUUUAUCUCUGAAUCUUCUUCCCCCCAAUCUUACUUGAAUGUCAAGUUAUGAUGCCUUUAUAGGCAAGGUUCUAGGGAAGCAAAAAUGACUUCAGUUUUUGCCCUUUACUCCUUUUUUAAUUUUUGUUUUUGCUAGUUGAUCCUUAAUUUAAAAAUCAGGUUUUCACACAAGUCCCAACCCCAGCUUCUAAGAAGCUUCCCAAUUCUGUUACUCAUAGAUUCCCUCCCCCAAUUUUCCAAACUACCCCUCGAGCCAUGGUUAUUUACUCUAGGAAACCAACCUAGCAGAACCCAUGUUGAUACUUAGACAGACUGAAUGGGCCACGGGUCAAUUUGGCCCAACUGUUCAACCCCAAAUGAACCAGAAUAGACCCAAAAACCCAACCCUCGAUAUCAAAGAUCUACUCGGCCCAACUAGCAAUUAUCUGACUACCAAAUAACACAGAACAAUUAAAUUUCAGCCUAAAUGGUUUACUAACUAAACUUAACCAAACUACCAAUUGACAACUAACCUAACAAGACUCCGACUACUCAUGCAUGAAUGAAUAGAUUCCGGAUCAAAUGAAGAAUGAUUCAAGAAGAGGAGAAGAAACAGAAAAUUUGAAAACAAACGAGGGACAGAUUAAACUAAAAAGAAAGAAAGAAAAAAUACCUGAGAAAAGUUUGAAAAAUAAAAGGGAAGCCUGGGUCUUUAGAUCCUCGGAUUUUCCGGCCAAAUCUGAGGUUAAUCGUGUGCUCUUACGAAGAACAUACGAAUAAACUCAGAUUCGGCACGAAAUUUUUCCAAAACUUGACUUGGGAUUUCUAGGGUUCGUUUCUGAUCUAAGAUUCGAGGAGCUGGGGCAACAUUCGAGGGAAACGGAGUGGGGAUUCGGAAUGAGGGGGUCAGGGUGGUUCGGUGGUGUGAUUUUGGUGGUGUUUGGAGGUGGCGCCGCCACCAGAGGCCGGGGAUUUGGGGGCGGCUCAGCUAGGGUUUCGGGGUGUUUCUGAGAGAUGAAAGGUUGGGGAGAUGAGACCGGGGGGGUGCAAGGCAUUUGGACACUUUUAUAGGUGUGACCCAAUACGUUCCGGACCGUCAGAUGAAGCAAGAUGAAGGGCCAAGAUUUGUUAAGGCAAACUGAACUUAAAACGACGUCGUUUCAACGGCCUGGGUGAUGGGCUACCUGGACCGGGUAAGACAAAGGACUUUAGGGCCGAGUAUUGGGUAAUUUUGUUUGGCUACGAACAAUUAAAUGGGUUUUAGCCCAGAUCUGGAUCUCCUUUCACUUCUUUCCUUUUCUUUUUCAAUUUCAAAAUUCUUUCCUUUUCCAAAAUUAAAAUAAAACCUCAAUUAAUUAAUAAUAAUUUUUAAACUAAAUUAACCUACCCAAUUAGAUUAAUCACUCAUCAUGGUAUUUACAAUAAUUAAUUAAAUCCUAAAUUUAAAGUAAAAUUAUACAAUUCAAAAUUAAAAAGUAAAAAUGCAAAAAUGAAUUAUUUUUGUGAUUUUCAUUUUUUAUAAAACAAACUAAUUUGCUAAUUAAUCUAAAAAUAUAAAAUUAAAUCCUAAAUGCAGAUGCAACGUAUUUUUGUAUUUUUCAUGAAUUAAAUAUAAUAAACGUGCACAGACAAAUGCAAAUAAUUAACAAAAAAUGCCACGAAAUCCAACAAAAUCGCAGACACUGAAAGAUGGAGAAAUCUGUGUCUCCAUUAACUGAACAUUCUGAAUUGAAACAACUAAUCUUAACUAAGCAUGCUCACAACCAGCAGCAAAAUGAACUGACACCUGCUUCUAUUAUUGGAAUACUCUGGACCAAUUCUUCCCCUUUAAACACAAUUCCAACAAGCACGAAAUCCAAUGAAUACAUUCUGCCAAACUAAUAUAUAAGUACAUGAUCAAACUAACACAAUUAACAUGUUAUCAAAACUUAAGUGAGCUAUUCAGCAAAUAAAUCUCAAUACCAUUUAUAUCACAAGAUUCCCCAAGAAUGCAUCUGUCCUGAAUUUAACUCGGUUAACAGGUUAUUUCCAAGUCUUAUAACA